RNAcentral lists this ribosomal RNA (554 nucleotides) under uncultured bacterium. RNAcentral's name for it is "partial 16S ribosomal RNA". It matches the Rfam family "Bacterial small subunit ribosomal RNA", at positions 355 to 924 of the family's 1533-position model. The record is from RNAcentral.
UGGGGAAUAUUGCACAAUGGGCGAAAGCCUGAUGCAGCAACGCCGCGUGAGUGAUGAAGGCCUUCGGGUUGUAAAGCUCUGUCUUUUGGGACGAUAAUGACGGUACCAAAGGAGGAAGCCACGGCUAAUUACGUGCCAGCAGCCGCGGUAAUACGUAGGUGGCAAGCGUUGUCCGGAUUUACUGGGCGUAAAGGAUGCGUAGGCGGAUUUUUAAGUGAGAUGUGAAAACCCUAAGCUUAACUUGGGGACUGCAUUUCAUACUGGAAAUCUAGAGUGCGGGAGAGGAGAAUGGAAUUCCUAGUGUAGCGGUGAAAUGCGUAGAGAUUAGGAAGAACACCAGUGGCGAAGGCGAUUCUCUGGACCGUAACUGACGCUGAGGCAUGAAAGCGUGGGUAGCAAACAGGAUUAGAUACCCUGGUAGUCCACGCCGUAAACGAUGAGUACUAGGUGUAGGAGGUAUCGACCCCUUCUGUGCCGCAGUUAACACAAUAAGUACUCCGCCUGGGAAGUACGAUCGCAAGAUUUAAAACUCAAAGGAAUUGACGGGGGUCAUA